AACGAACGCUGGCGGCGUGCCUAACACAUGCAAGUCGCACGAGAAAGGCCUUCGGGCCGAGUAAAGUGGCGGACGGGUGAGUAAUGCAUGGAUAACCUGCCUUCGAGUGGGGGAUAACUCCGGGAAACCGGGGCUAAUACCGCAUGACAAGGCGCGGGCCUCGGCCUUCGCCUUCAAAGCUGGCCUCUGCUUGCAUGCUGGCGCUUGAAGAGGGGUCCAUGUCCCAUUAGCUUGUUGGUGAGGUAACGGCUCACCAAGGCGACGAUGGGUAGCCGGCCUGAGAGGGUGUUCGGCCACACUGGGACUGAGACACGGCCCAGACUCCUACGGGAGGCAGCAGUGGGGAAUCUUGCGCAAUGGGCGAAAGCCUGACGCAGCGACGCCGCGUGAGGGAUGAAGGCCUUCGGGUUGUAAACCUCUUUUCUUAGGGACGAUGAUGACGGUACCUGAGGAAUAAGCCACGGCUAACUACGUG
RNAcentral lists this ribosomal RNA (475 nucleotides) under uncultured bacterium. RNAcentral describes it as "bacterial SSU rRNA". It matches the Rfam family "Bacterial small subunit ribosomal RNA", at positions 28 to 507 of the family's 1533-position model. The record is from RNAcentral.